This is a non-coding RNA of Xyrichtys novacula (pearly razorfish), 1138 nucleotides long. The record is from the annotation of a GenBank genome assembly. NCBI's taxonomy places the organism in Eukaryota, Metazoa, Chordata, Actinopteri, Labriformes, Labridae.
CGAGCAACAAGUGAGGCAAACGAGACACAGGUGAGGCAAACGAGACACAGGUGAGGCAAACGAGACACAGGUGAGUCAAAUGAGAUGCAGGUGAAACUCAGGGGUGAUAAACGAAGGAGGGAAAACUGAGGAUAUAAAACCAGACUAGAAACACAAGGGCUGUGUCUGAAAUGGACCCCUAACCCCUAUAUACAUGGGAGUCAGCGCCAUUUUCAGGGGUGUCCAAAAUCUCAGUGAUCAACUCCAGUGCCCUAUAUUUGAGGCUACUCAAAAUUUCCCAUAAAGCAUUGCAAAAUGUAGUGACCAGCCGAUGGUCACUCACCGGUGGUGGGCAUCCCGUCAUGCAUUGCGUCAUGCCAUGUAGUGUCCGAAACCUCCAGUGAUUGAGUUCACUACAUAGUCAGCUAUAUAGUAAAAUCCCAUAUGGGGGUUAGGGGUUAGUGAUUCAUUUCGGACACAGCCAAGGAGUCAACUACUGCAAAAUAAAACAGGAAACACUGGAAACUGAUAUAAAGAAUAAAACACAGAGAACAGGAGGGAAACAGGGUCAAACACAAACUGAAAACUAACAAGACUGGACUACAGGGGAACAGGAACAAUAGGAAACAGAAACACUGGAGAGAAUCACAAAGAAAAUACACUCAAAUGACAAAACCAGGGAAAAACUAAAUUCACAGAACAUUUCAUGACAAGGAGCCUGUAUUGAACAUGAUAGUCAUUGAACAUCCACAAAGAGAUGCCAGAACUAAAAAAUGACCAGAAAGAGGCAAACGAUUUGCACAAAAAAUACAAAAGAGCCACAAUUCAGGAAUAAAAUGACUAACAAAAUGCAAACAAAGCUCAAAGAUACGAUCAAAGAGACCACAAGACCAAAGAUUGGGUGUCUUGUGUUUGUGGGGGCGUCUCAAUUGUUAAAGAUUAUUUGAUGAUCUCUCAAUGUUUGCUGAAAGAGAGGUAUGGACCAACAUAUCGAUAAGAGAAUCAGCAAAUUCAGAGGGGGAUCAGAGCUGAGUGAUACUGUAAGACCAGCACUUAUAGUGAAAGGCCUGCUGCCACGAAUAGACGGUCAUGCAUACUAAUGUCAGCAGAGACUGAUGGAGGAGAUGUCUCAGCCUCCAGACACACUGACGGAUAGUGC